This 908-nucleotide ribosomal RNA is filed under the name uncultured bacterium. RNAcentral describes it as "bacterial SSU rRNA". It matches the Rfam family "Bacterial small subunit ribosomal RNA", at positions 583 to 1501 of the family's 1533-position model. The record is from RNAcentral.
UCAAGUCAGAUUGUGAAAUACCGAGGCUUACUUCGGGCUGCAUCUGAACUGAGUUUCUGAGUGUCGAGAGAAAGUGAAUCCCAGUGUAGCGUGAAAUGCGUAGAUAUUGGGAGGACACCAGUGGCGAAGGCGACUUUCUGGACGAUAACUGACGCUGAGGCGCGAAAGCGUGGGGAGCAAACAGGAUUAGAUACCUGGUAGUCACGCCGUAAACGAUGGAUACUAGGUGUGGGAGGUAUCGACCCCUUCCGUGCCGCAGUUAACACAAUAAGUAUCCCACCUGGGGAGUACGGCCGCAAGGUUGAAACUCAAAGGAAUUGACGGGGGCCCGCACAAGCAGUGGAGUAUGUGGUUUAAUUCGAAGCAACGCGAAGAACCUUACCAGGGCUUGACAUGCAGGUGAAUAAGUAAGAGAUUACUUAGUCUUUCGGGACACCUGUGCAGGUGGUGCAUGGUUGUCGUCAGCUCGUGUCGUGAGAUGUUGGGUUAAGUCCCGCAACGAGCGCAACCCUUGUUGUUAGUUGCCAUCAUUAAGUUGGGCACUCUAACGAGACUGCCGGUGACAAAUCGGAGGAAGGUGGGGACGACGUCAAAUCAUCGUGCCCCUUAUGUCCUGGGCUACACACGUACUACAAUGGCUAUUAACAGCAGGGAGCUAAGGAGUAAUCCGGAGCAAAUCCUCAAAAAUAGUCCCAGUUCGAAUUGUGGGCUGCAACCCGCCCACAUGAAGUCGGAAUUGCUAGUAAUGGCAGGUCAGCAUACUGCCGUGAAUACGUUCCCGGGCCUUGUACACACCGCCCGUCACACCAUGAGAGUCUGCAACACCCGAAGUCAGUAGUUUAACCAGUAAUGGAGAGCGCUGCCGAAGGUGGGGCCGAUGAUUGGGGUGAAGUCGUAACAAGGUAACC